AUUGAACGCUGGCGGCAGGCCUAACACAUGCAAGUCGAACGAGUGGCGGACGGGUGAGUAAUGUCGGGGAAACUGCCUGAUGGAGGGGGAUAACGACUGGAAACGGUAGCUAAUACCGCAUACCAUCGGAUGUGCCCAGAUGGGUUUAGCUAGUAGGGGGGGUAAAGGCUCACCUAGGCGACGAUCCCGAGCUGGUCUGAGAGGGUGACCAGCCACACUGUGACUGAGACACGGUCCAGACUCCUACGGGAGGCAGCAGUGGGGAAUAUUGCACAAUGGGCGCAAGCCUGAUGCAGCCAUGCCGCGUGUGUGAAGAAGGUCUUCGGGUUGUAAAGUACUUUCAGCGGGGAGGCGUUACCCGCAGAGGAAGCACCGGCUAACUCCGUGCCAGCAGCCGCGGUAAUUC
This 406-nucleotide ribosomal RNA is filed under the name uncultured bacterium. Its description in RNAcentral is "partial 16S ribosomal RNA". It matches the Rfam family "Bacterial small subunit ribosomal RNA", at positions 30 to 526 of the family's 1533-position model. The record is from RNAcentral.